GAAGGAGGGAGUGGGCGUUGAUCGGAAUUACUGGGCGUAAAGCGCAUGUAGGUGGCCGAACAAGUCAGGUGUGAAAUCCUCGGGCUUAACCUGGGAAGUGCACUUGAUACUGUCCGGCUAGAGUUUGGCAGAGGAAAGUAGAAUUCCCGGUGUAGCGGUGAAAUGCGUAGAUAUCGGGAGGAAUACCAGUGGCGAAGGCGGCUUUCUGGGCCAAUACUGACGCUGAUGUGCGAAAGCGUGGGGAGCAAACAGG
Molecule: ribosomal RNA, 253 nt
Filed under: uncultured bacterium
Lineage: Bacteria
Description: partial 16S ribosomal RNA
Rfam family: Bacterial small subunit ribosomal RNA
Source: RNAcentral